Molecule: transfer RNA, 76 nt
Filed under: bioreactor metagenome
Description: tRNA-Asn
Rfam family: tRNA
About the family: Transfer RNA (tRNA) molecules are approximately 80 nucleotides in length.
Source: RNAcentral
GCCUACUUAGCGCAGUCGGUAGAGCUAUCGGCUGUUAACCGAUCGGUCGUGGGUUCGAGUCCCUCAGUAGGCGCCA